AAAUGCUGCUCAUGAAAUUGGAUUGGCUGGUCCAUGUCACGUGGCAGACUCCAAAAUGGCAGUCUCCAUGCUUGCCUCAAGGGCCUGGGAGCACAACCCUGCCCCCUGCAGUUGCAUGGAAGUGGCAGGGAGUGGCAAGGUAGAAAGAAAAGCUACUCAGGUUGUCGUCCUACAUUGCUUCCACAGAAUCACUUCUGCCCAGGUUUUCUUCCUACUUUGCUUCCACAUAACCAAAAAUUUGGAGCACACACAGCACCCAAACUCAGCUCAUUAAAGUAACUACCUGGGAGGAGAGGAAGGCUCCAAAUCCUCAGCUCUGAAUUCAAGGUACUGCUUUGAAUCUGAUCCAGUCAAAUCAGCCUGUCCUCCAGCACCAAUUUGAAUUGUGGCCUUCCUUGAAGCACUAAGAAUGGUGACCCCUGCUUCCCUACGAAGGAUGGCAUUUGCUGUAACCCUGGUGGGAUUGAUACCUGCUUGGAACCUGAUAAGUGCAUUUGUGCAGCUAAACUAUUGAUUCUGCUUGGUUAGCAAAUGGUGGGAAAAUGCAAGGAAGAGGCCCAAUUUGCUGAAAGUCACGCUGAAUAAAGAUUCUAAGGGCCAAACUCUUCACUGAGAAAGGACACCUACGAUGGCACUAUCUACAGAUCUAUCUAAAUAUGCCCUUCCCUGGAAUAAGACUUCCUCCAAUGCAUGGGGUCUUCCCUUGGAGGAUGUUCCUUCUGCCAGAAGAAAGGAAUGUUUGAAUGAAUACAGUGUAGCUCGACUACUCAGUGGUAUAGACAAGUCACAGCAUCUAAAUAUCCUUUCCAAGGCCUUCAUCGCAACCCUACCAAGUACUGGUCUGAGGUAUAUUUCUUGACUGCUGGAACCUUUACUGUUGAUGGUCAAUCCUAAAAGGCAGAAGCUAUCCACCACUUCAAUGUCUCCAUUGUCAAUUCUGGUUGCUGUACCUGUUGUCAUUAGUUUAGACUUCUUUACAUUCAAUUGUAGUCCCAUUUAUCACUGUGCUCCUUGAUUUUCAUUACUAGAGCUUUUAGAUCAUCCGCAUUCUCAGCUAUCAGAGUGGUGUCAUCAGCGUAACGCAGGCUAUUGAGGUUUCUUCCUCCAGCUAUAAAACCACGC
Molecule: long non-coding RNA, 1122 nt
Organism: Hemicordylus capensis (graceful crag lizard)
Lineage: Eukaryota; Metazoa; Chordata; Lepidosauria; Squamata; Cordylidae
Exons: 6
Source: RefSeq, a predicted model, not a curated record